Long non-coding RNA from Dermochelys coriacea (leatherback sea turtle), 703 nucleotides. RefSeq lists it as uncharacterized. The transcript has 3 exons. Lineage: Eukaryota; Metazoa; Chordata; Testudines; Dermochelyidae. The record is from RefSeq and is a predicted model, not a curated record.
GGUGGAGCUCAGCGGGGGCGCGAGAGGGUCAGGUUUGGGAGGGAGUCUGGGCGCAAGCGGGGCGGUACCCUCCAGUACACAGUAGGGGCAAGAGGUUUUAGCGGUUGCGGGGUACCGGCAAGACUUGGGGCUGCGCUCUACUCUUUAAAGGAGCAGGACGCGGUUAGGGAGGACAUUCAUUCUUUAAAUGGCUUGAACAGCACAAUACUUAAACCAAGGACAUCCAUACUGCAUCACACCAAGUCCAAAUCAUUAGAGGACUGCCUCUGCUUGCACUGACCAGAGGAUGUUUGGAUUCUGAUGUCAGCCCAGUUCUGCAGCCUUACAGGAAUCAGGUGUUGUCCCCAGGGUACAUAGAAUUUAUUUUAUUUUUAUUUUUUUUGCAGCCAAACUAGUCUAACAUGCAUUUUGUUAACUGGAACUGGAGCAGCAAAACCAAGAAAACAAAUGCCUCAUUUCCCACCUUUGUGGGUGAGAGAACUGUAAGUGAAGAUUAUAAUGCCGGACAGUGACGGCCUUAAACCAGCUGCCUCAGGAGUCUGCCAAGAACUUGGCUGAAAAGAUGGCCCUCAUAUUAGCAAUGGAGCUAAAACUUAUCACACGUCUGCCCACCUUUAUUCGAAUGAAGAUCCUUCUGAUCUGACAGCUCAGAUGUCCUGGCUUGUUCCACCAUCCUGGCUAAUGGUGCUGCCCAAGAAUGUGA